UACGUAGGGUGCGAGCGUUGUCCGGAAUUAUUGGGCGUAAAGGGCUCGUAGGCGGUUUGUCGCGUCGGGAGUGAAAACCAGGUGCUUAACACCUGGCUUGCUUUCGAUACGGGCAGACUAGAGGUAUGCAGGGGAGAACGGAAUUCUUGGUGUAGCGGUGAAAUGCGUAGAUAUCAAGAGGAACACCUGAGGUGAAGACGGGUUGCUGGGCUGACACUGACGCUGAGUGCGCGAAAGCCAGGGGAGCAAACGGG
RNAcentral lists this ribosomal RNA (254 nucleotides) under uncultured bacterium. RNAcentral describes it as "partial 16S ribosomal RNA". It matches the Rfam family "Bacterial small subunit ribosomal RNA", at positions 524 to 776 of the family's 1533-position model. The record is from RNAcentral.